CAAUUUUGUCCCCACGAUCCUGCGAAAAUGGUCCUUGGCAUGCUUCCACGCCCCUUCAAUUUUGUUGGUAUUGACAGAGAUGGUCUGGCCUGUUGCAAUAUCGAGGUAUUUCCUUUUUAUACGCCCGUAUAAAAUACGGGACGUAUUAUGUGAAACCCCUUGGCGGCGGGCGGCGGGCGGCGGGCGGAAGGCAUCACUUUGUCCGGACUCUAAUUCAAAUUGUAUUCAUCCGAUCUUCACCAAACUUGGUCAGCAGUUGCAUCUAGUUGAUAUCUAGGCCAAGUUCGAAUAUGGGUCAUGCCGGGUCAAAAACUAGGUCAUAGGGUCAAUAAGUGCAUUUUCAAAGGGGCCACUUUGUCCGGACUCUAUUUCAAAUUGUAUUCAUCCGAUCUUCACCAAACUUGGUCAGCAGUUGCAUCUAGUUGAUAUAUAGGCCAAGUUCGAAUAUGGGUCAUGCCGGGUCAAAAACUAGGUCAUAGGGUCAAUUAGUGCAUUUUCAACGGCGCCACUUUGUCCGGACUCUAAUUCAAAUUGUAUUCAUCCGAUCUUCACCAAACUUGGUCAGAAGUUGUAUCUAGACAAUAUCUAGGUCAAGUUCGAAUAUGGGUCAUGCCGGGUCAAAAACUAGGUCACAGGGUCACUUAAACCAUUUCAAGCAUUUAGCAUGGUGUCCGCUCUCUAAUUGAAGUAGUUAUCAUCCGAUCUUCACCAAAUUUGGUCAGAAGUUGUGUCUAGACAAUAUCUACAUGUAGGUCAAG
Long non-coding RNA from Dreissena polymorpha, 758 nucleotides. RefSeq lists it as uncharacterized. The record is from RefSeq and is a predicted model, not a curated record. The transcript has 2 exons. NCBI's taxonomy places the organism in Eukaryota, Metazoa, Mollusca, Bivalvia, Myida, Dreissenidae.